CCCUUAGAUGUUCUGGGCCGCACGCGCGCUACACUGUUCGACGCAGCGAGUCUUAACCUUGACCGAAAGGUUUGGGUAAUCUUCAGCAAAGUCGAACGUGAUGGGGAUCGAUCAUUGCAAUUAUUGAUCGUGAACGAGGAAUUCCUAGUAAGUGCAAGUCAUCAGCUUGCGCUGAUUACGUCCCUGCCCUUUGUACACACCGCCCGUCGCUGCAACUGAUUGGGUGACCUGGUGAACAUCUUGGACCGGCCCACUCAAUUUCGAGAGGACUGGAAAAGGCCGUAAAUCAGGUACAUCUAGAAAUUGCAAAAGUCGUAACA
RNAcentral lists this ribosomal RNA (320 nucleotides) under uncultured eukaryote. Its description in RNAcentral is "partial 18S ribosomal RNA". It matches the Rfam family "Eukaryotic small subunit ribosomal RNA", at positions 1470 to 1796 of the family's 1831-position model. The record is from RNAcentral.